Molecule: ribosomal RNA, 373 nt
Filed under: uncultured organism
Description: partial 16S ribosomal RNA
Rfam family: Bacterial small subunit ribosomal RNA
Source: RNAcentral
GUAGGUGGCAAGCGUUGUCCGGAAUUAUUGGGCGUAAAGCGCGCGCAGGCGGUUCUUUAAGUCUGAUGUGAAAGCCCACGGCUCAACCGUGGAGGGUCAUUGGAAACUGGAGAACUUGAGUACAGAAGAGGAAAGCGGAAUUCCACGUGUAGCGGUGAAAUGCGUAGAGAUGUGGAGGAACACCAGUGGCGAAGGCGGCUUUCUGGUCUGUAACUGACGCUGAGGCGCGAAAGCGUGGGGAGCAAACAGGAUUAGAUACCCUGGUAGUCCACGCCGUAAACGAUGAGUGCUAAGUGUUAGGGGGGUUUCCGCCCCCCUUAGUGCUGCAGCUAACGCAUUAAGCACUCCGCCUGGGAGUACGGUCGCAAGGCUG